This is a long non-coding RNA of Parus major (Great Tit), 1357 nucleotides long. Lineage: Eukaryota; Metazoa; Chordata; Aves; Passeriformes; Paridae. The record is from Ensembl.
GGAAAUUCUGUGGAACUUCUAUAAAAAAAAUUUGAGGCCCACAAGGUUCAGUGAAACUCAAACCAAAGCUCUGGAUGUUGUAGGAAUUCCUUGGAGAAAUUGUGCACUAGUUAUGAAUCUGUGGUGCAUUGGCAGCUGUGUAAGCAAGGAAAAAAUCAGCCCUGCAAGCUUUGAAUCAAGACCAUUUUGAGAGGAAAACUGAUGACAUGGAAGAUACACAAAAAGGUCAGAGGUGGAGAUAAAAGGGAACUUUUCUUCAUUCCCAAUCUAUGCAACUUUUCAUAAAUUACAGAAGCCUCACUUGGAGUGUGUCUGCUUGGGGGAAUCAGAGGAGAACAACAGCGUGAACCUGGAGUGUUUGCACAAUGUAGUUCAAGCUCUUGUGGACAUGGAUGAACCCACUUGAACACCAGGGACCCUUCAUGAAAGACAAAUGAAGCUGCUCAUGAGAUCCAUGCAGAAUAGCUGAUGUAGGCUUUUUAUACAAUUCGCCGUUUGUUUACAUUUAUUAUCCUUUAUCGCAAUGCUUGUCUAUGUGCAUCAACAGUUCCCAUGAUGGUACAGUGGGAGGCAUAAUUCCCAUUUGUUUGAGUUGUGGAUUUCUUUUGAAAAAACUAUGAACACAGGACAAUGAAAAAGAGCUACUCUUUCCUGCACAUCAUGAGGGAGUACAGCAGAAUCUAAUAUUCAACGCAGCAGUGUGAAUGCACAGUGAGUGCAUGCAGCUCUCAAAACCCCUGGAAAACAGAUAAGCACAGUUCCAUUCUGGAGGAAUAUUUUUUGUGACUGAGGAGUCUCAGCAUGUAGUAAGUCCCUCAAGCCUGUUUUUCCUUGGUCAAGUUCCUAUGUUGUAUCUUUCCCUUUCCCAAACAAAUUGUCUCAUGUAAGGACCAGAUUUUGGUGGAUAAGUCAAUAUUUUUUAAUCCUAUUAGAGUCACUCUAAGAGUGUAGCUGUCAGGAUGCAUUGAUACUAAUUUUCCAGGGAUUUAAAACUUCCUUGUCAUUGAUACAGCACCAAAGCAACCUGCAAAUUCACUAAGUUGCAGAGUUUACCAGUGAAGCCACACAAAGGCUUUCAACAUCUCUUCUGUAUUCUCCAAUUGCUUCUAAGGCUCUCUGCUAAUUUCAAUACUUGCUGUGGCUUCCUCUACCUUGAGGAAGCAGUUUCUGGAAUUGUCAUUGACUUCCUCUAGAAAGCUGGUUGUUUCCAAAACACAAAAUCUCAUUGAAAAACUAUGAACCAUCCUCUGAUACAAUGAGUAUUAGUAAAAUUUCACAGAAUUUUUACUGUAUUAAGUGCUAAGCAACUAAACAGAUAGUUCAAAAUCCAAUAAAGAGAUCAUAAAAAAACUGAACA